CAGGCUUAACACAUGCAAGUCGAGGGGCAGCAUUUCAGUUUGCUUGCAAACUGGAGAUGGCGACCGGCGCACGGGUGAGUAACACGUAUCCAACCUGCCGAUAACUCGGGGAUAGCCUUUCGAAAGAAAGAUUAAUACCCGAUGGCAUAAUUAGACCGCAUGGUCUUAUUAUUAAAGAAUUUCGGUUAUCGAUGGGGAUGCGUUCCAUUAGGCAGUUGGUGAGGUAACGGCUCACCAAACCUUCGAUGGAUAGGGGUUCUGAGAGGAAGGUCCCCCACAUUGGAACUGAGACACGGUCCAAACUCCUACGGGAGGCAGCAGUGAGGAAUAUUGGUCAAUGGGCGCAGGCCUGAACCAGCCAAGUAGCGUGAAGGAUGACUGCCCUAUGGGUUGUAAACUUCUUUUAUAUGGGAAUAAAGUUUUCCACGUGUGGAAUUUUGUAUGUACCAUAUGAAUAAGGAUCGGCUAACUCCGUGCCAGCAGUCGCGGUAAUACGGAGGAUCCGAGCGUUAUCCGGAUUUAUUGGGUUUAAAGGGAGCGUAGGUGGACAGUUAAGUCAGUUGUGAAAGUUUGCGGCUCAACCGUAAAAUUGCAGUUGAUACUGGCUGUCUUGAGUACAGUAGAGGUGGGCGGAAUUCGUGGUGUAGCGGUGAAAUGCUUAGAUAUCACGAAGAACUCCGAUUGCGAAAGCAGCUCACUGGACUGCAACUGACACUGAUGCUCGAAAGUGUGGGUAUCAAACAGGAUUAGAUACCCUGGUAGUCCACACAGUAAACGAUGAAUACUCGCUGUUUGCGAUAUA
This 802-nucleotide ribosomal RNA is filed under the name uncultured organism. Its description in RNAcentral is "SSU rRNA". It matches the Rfam family "Bacterial small subunit ribosomal RNA", at positions 43 to 833 of the family's 1533-position model. The record is from RNAcentral.